UGUCUUCAAGGCGGGGUGAAAUUCCCCACCGGUGGUUACAGUCCACAAGCUUUUCGCUGAUUGGGUGGAAUUCCCAAACCGACGGUCAAAGUCCGGAUGAAAGAAGAU
Molecule: non-coding RNA, 108 nt
Filed under: Candidatus Fimenecus excrementigallinarum
Lineage: Bacteria; Bacillati; Bacillota; Clostridia
Description: FMN riboswitch (RFN element)
Rfam family: FMN riboswitch aptamer (RFN element)
About the family: The RFN element is a highly conserved domain that is found frequently in the 5'-untranslated regions of prokaryotic mRNAs that encode for flavin mononucleotide (FMN) biosynthesis and transport proteins.
Source: RNAcentral